Molecule: long non-coding RNA, 1032 nt
Organism: Arachis stenosperma
Lineage: Eukaryota; Viridiplantae; Streptophyta; Magnoliopsida; Fabales; Fabaceae
Exons: 3
Source: RefSeq, a predicted model, not a curated record
GCUUCUUUUCUCCCCACCAUUCAUUCACGGAUGAACACCCUCCACACAAAUAAACUUAUCAACACAGAGAAGAAAGAAAUCAGUGAAAACAACGAAAAGAGAGACCGAGAGAGAGCGAGACGCAUAGGAAAGAGGGGAAGGGGGAAGCAGCGUCCGUGGGUAACACAGGAAGCGUCGCUGCUGUUGCUGUCAUAUAGGAGAGUGUGGGAGAAGUGGAGAGCAAGAGGGAGAAGGGUGGUGCGCUGUUGGAGCCACAUCACUGCCGUCGUUAAACUUCCAUCGCCGUCGCCACUGUCCAACCCGCCGUCAGGGAGAGGCACUUCCAUCGAACCCUAGCCAUCACUAUCGCCUUUGCACGCAAAGAAGGGGCUGUUGCCACUAUUGCCGUCGAUUUGGAGUUGCCAUAGACACAGUUGUUUCUACUUCUAGUGCUCAUUCUUCUAACUGUUGGAGUUGCUGUGGAAUGGAGCCACUGGCGGGGUGUUGCUGCUGCCAGAACCACCGGGAAGGAUUGCUGGGAAUCACUGCUGCCCUGUUUUCGUUCUAAUUAGGUUCAACAUCCAUUGGCCUGGAGCUGUUUCUGCCUUUCGAUUCCAUCGAAUUCGAAAUCUUCAUUUCACUGCAACCAUGGUCAUUGUUGUGGAAGCUAAUGCUACUGCUGUCCCGGUUGUGUUGAGAUGUAGUGCUGCUGCUUUCUGGGCAGAAACGGUUGCGUGACUAUUAGAGGUCCAGCCAGCUGUCUCGCAGCAAUUCUGCCAACGGUCUCUUGUAAUUGCGACAUCGAGUGACACAGGUUUGAAGAUGUAAUUUGAAGCUGCGAGCGAUUAGUAGGCUUCCUUUAUGGUUUUAAUUGCUUUCAUAGAGUCCCCUCGCUCUUUUCCUUUGAAGUUUUAUUUUAUCAGAGGGGUAUGUAUUGUAUUUGGGUUUAUAUGACUUCCUAUGUAUAAGAAUUACUAAUAAUAAUACCUCUGUGAUUGUUAUUACUAUUUGCAAUGUUUAUCCUUGAUACAUGUCUUUAAUGAAUAAAAACAA